UCGUGUUGAUUUGCUGUGGUUACCCAGUGU
RNAcentral lists this non-coding RNA (30 nucleotides) under Homo sapiens (human). The record is from RNAcentral. Lineage: Eukaryota; Metazoa; Chordata; Mammalia; Primates; Hominidae.